This 327-nucleotide ribosomal RNA is filed under the name uncultured eukaryote. RNAcentral's name for it is "partial 18S ribosomal RNA". It matches the Rfam family "Eukaryotic small subunit ribosomal RNA", at positions 1470 to 1796 of the family's 1831-position model. The record is from RNAcentral.
CCCUUAGAUGUUCUCGGCCGCACACGCGCUGCACUGAAAGAGGCAACGUGUUUGCCUGAUUCGAAAGAAUUGGGUAACCCCCUAAUCUCUUUCGUGCUGGGGAUUGAGGUUUGCAAUUAUCCUUCAUGAACGAGGAAUUCCCAGUAAGUGCGAGUCAUUAUCUCGCGCUGACUACGUCCCUGCCCUUUGUACACACCGCCCGUCGCUACUACCGAUUGAAUGAUUUAGUGAGGACUUCGGACUGAGUCCAAUGCGGCUUUCGGGCUGCGUUGGUAUUUCGGAAAGAUGUCCAAACUGUAUCAUUUAGAGGAAGUAAAAGUCGUAACA